UCUUUUGCGGGUGCAGCAUCAUCAAGAUUCACAAAUCAAACACUUAUCCAUUAGGGUUUGAUCCAUAUGGGAAUCUUGAUGAUGCUGCAGCGGCAAUGGG
Molecule: microRNA precursor, 100 nt
Filed under: Ipomoea nil (Japanese morning glory)
Lineage: Eukaryota; Viridiplantae; Streptophyta; Magnoliopsida; Solanales; Convolvulaceae
Description: mir-172 microRNA precursor family
Rfam family: mir-172 microRNA precursor family
About the family: mir-172 has been experimentally verified in Arabidopsis thaliana. This family is thought to target mRNAs coding for APETALA2-like transcription factors.
Source: Rfam by way of RNAcentral